AGGACGAACGCUGGCGGCGUGCUUAACACAUGCAAGUCGAGCGGAAAGGCCCUUCGGGGUACUCGAGCGGCGAACGGGUGAGUAACACGUGAGCAAUCUGCCCUUAGCUUCGGGAUAGCCCCGGGAAACCGGGAUUAAUACCGAAUAUGACCUCGGCCGACAUCGGCUUUGGUGGAAAGUUUUUCGGCUAGGGAUGAACUCGCGGCCUAUCAGCUUGUUGGUGGGGUAAUGGCCUACCAAGGCGACGACGGGUAGCCGGCCUGAGAGGGCGACCGGCCACACUGGGACUGAGACACGGCCCAGACUCCUACGGGAGGCAGCAGUGGGGAAUAUUGCGCAAUGGGCGAAAGCCUGACGCAGCGACGCCGCGUGGGGGAUGAAGGCCUUCGGUUGUAAACCCCUUUCAGCAGGGACGAAGCGAGAGUGACGGUACCUGCAGAAGAAGCGCCGGCUAACUACGCGCCAGCAGCCGC
Molecule: ribosomal RNA, 473 nt
Filed under: uncultured bacterium
Lineage: Bacteria
Description: SSU rRNA
Rfam family: Bacterial small subunit ribosomal RNA
Source: RNAcentral